This is a non-coding RNA of Solanum lycopersicum (tomato), 100 nucleotides long. The record is from Rfam. NCBI's taxonomy places the organism in Eukaryota, Viridiplantae, Streptophyta, Magnoliopsida, Solanales, Solanaceae.
AUAACCAACACGCUAUCGAUGAAAAUGAAACGAUAUAGAGAAUAUUAGAAUGUCCCUGCGCAAGAAUGACAAACAAAAUUGAGAAAUAGUCCAAAUUUUU